CAGAAAAUAGUUUAAGUAAAAUAUUAGUUUUGGAGACUAAAGAUAGGUUUUCUUUUUUCUGA
RNAcentral lists this transfer RNA (62 nucleotides) under Mordellochroa milleri. RNAcentral's name for it is "tRNA-Pro". Lineage: Eukaryota; Metazoa; Arthropoda; Insecta; Coleoptera; Mordellidae. The record is from RNAcentral.